Molecule: ribosomal RNA, 505 nt
Filed under: uncultured bacterium
Lineage: Bacteria
Description: partial 16S ribosomal RNA
Rfam family: Bacterial small subunit ribosomal RNA
Source: RNAcentral
GACGAACGCUGGCGGCGUGCCUAAUACAUGCAAGUAGAACGCACAGUUUAUACCGUAGCUUGCUACACCAUAAACUGUGAGUUGCGAACGGGUGAGUAAAGCGUAGGUAACCUGCCUGGUAGCGGGGGAUAACUAUUGGUAACGAUAGCUAAUACCGCAUAAUAUUGAUUAUUGCAUGAUAAUUGACUGAAAGUUGCUAUUGCAUCACUACUAGAUGGACUUGCGUUGUAUUAGCUAGUAGGUGAGGUAACGGCUCACCUAGGCGACGAUACAUAGCCGACCUGAGAGGGUGGUCGGCCGCACUGGGACUGAGACACGGCCCAGACUCCUACAGGAGGCAGCAGUAGGGAAUCUUCGGCAAUGGACGAGAGUCUGACCGAGCAACGCCGCGUGAGUGAGGAAGGUUGUCGGAUCGUAAAGCUCUGUUGUAAGAGAAGAACGGGUGUGAGAGUGGAAAGUUCACAGUGUGACGGUAUCUUACCAGAAAGGGACGGCUAACUACGUG